GCUCCAUUGGCGCAGCUGGUUAGCGCGUGGUACUUAUACGAAUAAGCAAUGCCGAGUCGGGAGUUCGAUCCUCCCAUGGAGCA
Necator americanus (New World hookworm) is the source of this 83-nucleotide non-coding RNA. The record is from Rfam. NCBI's taxonomy places the organism in Eukaryota, Metazoa, Nematoda, Chromadorea, Rhabditida, Ancylostomatidae.